GUUAAAAAGCUCGUAGUUGGAUUUCUAGCGGACGCGUCUGGUCUGCUCCGCGAGGAGUCGGUACUGAGUCGUCGUCUGUUAUCCUUGAGGAGAAUAUUCCUGCAUUAAGUUGUCGGGAGUAGUAUCCUCAUCGUUUACUGUGAAAAAAUUAGAGUGUUCAAAGCAAGCUUAGGCUCUGAAUAUAUUAGCAUGGAAUAAUAAGAUAAGACCCUGGUGGUUUAUUUUGUUGGUUUGCACGCCGAGGUAAUGAUUAAUAGGGAUAGUUGGGGGUAUUCGUAUUCAAUUGUCAGAGGUGAAAUUCUUGGAUUUAUGGAAGACGAACUACUGCGAAAGCAUUUACCAAGGAUGUUUUCACUAAUCAAGAACGAAAGUUAGGGGAUCGAAGAUGAUUAGAUACCAUCGUAGUCUUAACCAUAAACUAUGCCGACUCGGGAUUGGCGGUCGUUUCUAUCCGACUCCGUCAGCACCGUAUGAGAAAUCAAAGUCUUUGGGUUCCGGGGGGAGUAUGGUCGCAAGGCUGAAACUUAAAGAAAUUGACGGAAGGGCACCACCAGGAGUGGAGCCUGCGGCUUAAUUUGACUCA
Molecule: ribosomal RNA, 583 nt
Filed under: uncultured marine eukaryote
Lineage: Eukaryota
Description: SSU rRNA
Rfam family: Eukaryotic small subunit ribosomal RNA
Source: RNAcentral